CCUACGUGCGGCAGCAGUGAGGAAUAUUGGUCAAUGGGCGGAAGCCUGAACCAGCCAAGUAGCGUGCGGGAUGAAGGCCCUACGGGUCGUAAACCGCUUUUGCACGGGGAUAACACCCUCCACUUGUGGCGGUCUGCAGGUACCGUGCGAAUAAGGGCCGGCUAAUUCCGUGCCAGCAGCCACGGUCAUACGGAAGGCCCGAGCGUUAUCCGGAUUCAUUGGGCUUAAAGGGAGCGUAGGCGGGCGUUCAAGUCAGCUGUAAAAUCGCGCGGCUCAACCGCGCCCCGCAGUUGAAACUGGACGCCUUGAGUUCACAACAGGCAGGCGGAAUUCGUGGUGUAGCGGUGAAAUGCAUAGAUAUCACGAGGAACCCCGAUUGCGAAGGCAGCCUGCCGGGGUGCGACUGACGCUGAGGCUCGAAGGUGCGGGUAUCAAACAGGAUUAGAUACCCGUGUAGUC
RNAcentral lists this ribosomal RNA (459 nucleotides) under uncultured bacterium. RNAcentral's name for it is "partial 16S ribosomal RNA". It matches the Rfam family "Bacterial small subunit ribosomal RNA", at positions 338 to 795 of the family's 1533-position model. The record is from RNAcentral.